CUAGAUGUCAGGUUCCUCCUAACUAAAACACUCAGGGUCACUCCAGGGGAACUGGGCUGCACAAGAGACAGAGAUACCUUUUUCUUUAGGGUCCUGUGACGGCUCCUCUGACCUUAGGGGUCCACAGAAAGAGAGGGAGCCAGCGCGUGCUGAACCCUUUUACUGGGGAGAAGCCAUUCAAACGAGGCAAGGGGUCAGGAAGGCCACACCCAAAGGCAGAGCAAUAGAAGGGGACACACAGAGGGCAUUUCCAGGGAACAUUCUGUCCCAAACAAGGCAAAGAGGUAAAUCACAAAGGAACAGCUGAGGUAGCUCAACCCAUGGGGCGACACAUCUCCAUCUGAAGACAUGCUCUCAAGCUUCUUGGACCAGGGCAAUGUCCAGGUCACUGUGAGAUGUAGGAAUCAGUCAGAGCCUCUCUGCUCCAGGAUGGAAAGCGUGGAUCAUUCAGAGUGGCUCCCCACCACUAGAAACACAGUUGUAUCCCGAAAGUCCACAUGGGGGUCCUUCGGGGUUCUCUGAACACUUCCUCUCUCCCCUCUGGCUUCACAAGAACACAUUAGGACAUACACCCCCACAUGAUACUCACUGGAAGAGACAAGUAAACAGCCAUUUACAACAAAUAUCAUAAGCACAAUAACGGAGGUCAAUCAGGGGGAUGAGGAGACCAGGAGAACUGGCAUCCGAUGGUUCUGGAGGACCCAGGAGGCCCACCUAGAAAAAGUGGUCCCUGAAUGAGGUCCUGAGUAAUAAAGAAAAGCUAUCCAGACAAAACACGGGGACAGUAACUCACAGGGCAGGACUAGAGUCGAGAAAAAUCAGAUUUAAGAAGUGCAUUUGUCAGGUCAAACCAGCUGCCGUGACAAAUAGUCCCAACAUUUCAAUGACUUCACAAAACCCCAGCCUCAUCUACCUCAUGGGGCAGCGAUCCAGAGUGGGUGUCCCUGGGCAGGUAGCACUCUGGUCAUCUCUCUUCCAAGUGGACCAGGCUCCUGCCACCUAAGACUCUGGGAUGGGGUGAGGAGAAUCCAUGAGGAGAUGUUUGGGUGAAUGCCUUAUUUUCUGGGUCAACAUCUUGGGGGGCAAUCCCUGCACACCUCUCAGUCUGGACCACCCAUCACAUAAAUGACGUGGAACUAUUUCCUCAAUUGUCCAAGCAGCUAUGACGGCCCGAGAUGCAGAGGGGAGGAGCCAAUUCAUGCAGCGACACUGUGGGGGGUCAGGGCUGAACUCGGGGGGCUGCCGCUCAUCCUGUUCGUCAAACCCUGGGACGCCGUGAGGACCUGGUUCAUUCAGAAAACCAAACUCAUCACUUUCAAAGCCCAAGACUCACCGUGAAGAAGUUUAAAGUACAUUCCCAAAAUGUAAAAGCAAAUAUUCUGUGGGCUGCGGCCUUGGAAGCAGACUGUGGAGGGUUAAAAGCCAACAGUCCUCGCACAGAUGAAAGGCCCAGCGGGUCCUGGCCAGGCUUCCCUGAGGGCACCCCCAGCCCAGCCUGCAGCUCCUGGGGGUGAGAAGGAGGUGAGGAUAGGAAGGGAGUGGAGGGCCCCUGGUGAGCAGGGAGGGCUUUGGACGUCUGGGCUCUCGGGGCCUGUGUCCAGGCUCCCACACACCCGCACAGCAGCGUCUCCUGGGAAGGGUGUUGUUCGGCAGCUUCCAAGGC
Molecule: long non-coding RNA, 1663 nt
Filed under: Marmota monax (woodchuck)
Lineage: Eukaryota; Metazoa; Chordata; Mammalia; Rodentia; Sciuridae
Source: RNAcentral